RNAcentral lists this transfer RNA (64 nucleotides) under Neoscona theis. RNAcentral describes it as "Neoscona theisi tRNA-Pro". Lineage: Eukaryota; Metazoa; Arthropoda; Arachnida; Araneae; Araneidae. The record is from RNAcentral.
UUCUUUAGUUUAUAUAAAAUAUCUACUUUGGAUGUAGAAGAUAUUCUAAUUUAUUCUAUUAAAA